This 228-nucleotide ribosomal RNA is filed under the name uncultured bacterium. RNAcentral's name for it is "partial 16S ribosomal RNA". It matches the Rfam family "Bacterial small subunit ribosomal RNA", at positions 15 to 244 of the family's 1533-position model. The record is from RNAcentral.
GAUCAUGGCUCAGGAUGAACGCUGACAGAAUGCUUAACACAUGCAAGUCGAUGGGGAAGUGGUGCUUGCACCAUGGUAACCAUGGCGGACGGGUGAGUAACGCGUAAGGAACUUGCCUGCGGGACCGGGAUAACAGCAGGAAACUGCUGACAAGACCGGAUAAGGUCAUUAAGCGGCAUGGUUUAAUGAUGAAAGGAGACGCCUGCGGAGAGCCUUGCGUCCUAUUAG